This 1156-nucleotide long non-coding RNA is filed under the name Equus asinus (donkey). RNAcentral's name for it is "lncRNA (ENSEASG00005030640.1)". Lineage: Eukaryota; Metazoa; Chordata; Mammalia; Perissodactyla; Equidae. The record is from RNAcentral.
CAGCAACAGCAGAGCAAAACCAGAGGGAGAGACAAGGAGGCACGAUGUUGGUGGGUAGGACAGGGCCGAGGGAAAUAACUCCAACGAUGGUGGCGUGGAUCCCGGACAGCCUUUGAGUCUGAGCUCCUCCAUUAUCGAGUGGACCCUGUUACAUAAUUCCAAAAAUAUUUGGCCUGAAGAUGAAAGCAGAGAACUGAGUUGUAUUUGAAAAGAUGCACACAAGAACCUAGCAUGGAGUCAAGAACAUGGAAGGGGGAGAAACAGCAACAACAAGACUCACACUCUGGCAUUGCGCUGUUUCCUGGGCCACUCUGCUAUACUGACGUUCGCAUCGGGUACCAUCCCCACACGCAAUCAGGGCUGCACGACUGUCCUUCCCACCUCACAGAUGAGGAAACCGAGGCGCCGGAAGGUUAAUGACUUAUCCGAGGCCACUUGUCACAGCGCAAGUCCGUGGAGGAACUGGGGUGGAAGCCAGCAUGAUGUAAGAUAACUUGGGGCCUCCCGGGUGUCUAAGGAGGACUAGAGACCCGGAGGGGACUGGUUGGCUGGACUGACGGGAGUGGCGGGUGAGGGAGCUCUGCCAGCACCCAGACACUUUGGGCUGAGAGCAGAGAUCCACGGUCUGCAGUAGAUGCGGGUUUGGAGAUGAACUCACUCAGCAAAUCCCCAGAGCACAGAUUUAAGUUGUACCCCUUGAACCUUGCAGACCUUAACCUUGUUGAACCUUGUGGAACUUAACUCAAAAUCAAAUAAUUUUACUGUCAAAAAACGGAGCUUAUUUAGACUUCACAUAAGUUCUAGAGAUUUGGGUGGUGGGAGCAGAGGACUAUGAUUCACUGAGCGCCAACUACGUGCCAGGCACUCUGCUAGACCUACUCGUAGAUGAUUCAUUGCUCCCUCCCCAGAAACCCAGGAGACACCCUUAGCCCCAGGGUUAGGGGCUAGCAAAGGCCAGGGGCAGAGGGCUGGCAUGCACGUACGCACAUGCCCUGGUGCUCGGCACGGUCUGUCAUUAGGAAGGGGUACUGGGCUAUCAUGGGGGCAUAGCUCCAUUGGGGCUAUUGUCAGAGAGAGUCCUGCAACGUUCCCCUGCAACCCGGAGAGCUUCUAGAGACAAAAUCCCAAGGCACACGCCCAGUGAGCCCGAUUAAUU